ACAGCGCGAGGCCACUGUUCAUCCGAUCAAAUGCCGUAAGCAUUGGCGCUCGGUUGGAGCGAAGGAAGCCAUUGGAGUUGCCCUUGAUACGUAUUAAGCGACAGUAGGGGGGGCCUUUGUUUCCCUAGAAAGGAAAGUGUCGCAGAAAUUUUUGAGAGACCGACCAAGAGAGAACGAGAAAGCUAUGGGAUCGAAUGCGAAGAUGAUGGACGCCGUGAGAGCGGAUGCACCUGUCGAUGAGGAGGACGAUUUCCUUCCUGCAUCGGAGAGGGAUCGUGGGAGGGUCGUUGGCCUCGUUCUCGUUGACAUCGUCAAUGGAUUCUGCACAGUCGGAGCCGGCAACCUCGCUCCACGUGAACCUAAUAAACAAAUAGCCACUAUGGUCGAGGAGGCAUCAAGGCUGGCAAAGGCAUUCUGUGAGAGGAAUUGGCCUGUUUUUGCUUUUCUCGACUCUCAUUACCCAGAUAAACCAGAGCCCCCAUACCCUCCUCAUUGUAUAAUUGGCUCUGGAGAAGAUAAUCUUGUUCCAGCUCUACAGUGGUUAGAGAAGGAUCCAAAUGUGACAUUAAAGCGUAAGGAUUGUAUUGAUGGAUUCAUUGGCUCAACGGAGAAGGAUGGUUCUAAUCUAUUUGUUGACUGGGUGAAAACAAAUGACAUCAAAGUUGUGAGUUUUAGUCCUCGGUAUAUGCACCGAUAUUUGUGUUUUGGACUUUACUUGCUCUAUUUUAUCAGCUCGAAAUAUUGGUCGGAUUCUCCCGCUGGAAGAUGUAGUGAUUUAUUCACAUGGAUGUGCUACCUAUGAUCUUCCCAUUCAUGUCGCUAAACAUAUCAAAGGAGCCUUAGCUCAUCCCCAGGAAUUGCUUCAUCAUAUGGGACUUUAUGUGGCCAAGGGAAGGGGAGCCAGAAUUGUGAACAGUGUAUCCAUUGACUAAGAAGAACUAGCGAGCACAGUUCUUCACAUUCUGUCAGGUUAAUUCCUGCCAAGCUCUGCAUCUUUUUUCUAUAUUCUUCUCCAGUUGGUUGUAAAUCACUCAUGUUCUCCGUUGUCGACUCAUGGUUGUUGUAUAAAAAUAAACUUCUCUAGUUGGUUGUCAUCAUAAAUAAAUUUGUACUCAUGAUGGCUUUCAAAUUA
This is an RNA transcript of Dendrobium catenatum, 1132 nucleotides long. It is a transcript of the gene named nicotinamidase 1, with no coding region annotated. The record is from RefSeq and is a predicted model, not a curated record. Lineage: Eukaryota; Viridiplantae; Streptophyta; Magnoliopsida; Asparagales; Orchidaceae. The transcript has 5 exons.